Long non-coding RNA from Felis catus (domestic cat), 3019 nucleotides. RefSeq lists it as uncharacterized. The record is from RefSeq and is a predicted model, not a curated record. The transcript has 2 exons. Lineage: Eukaryota; Metazoa; Chordata; Mammalia; Carnivora; Felidae.
GAAACAGGCUCCAGGCUCCGAGCCAUCAGCCCAGAGCCCGACGCGGGGCUCGAACUCACGGACCGCGAGAUCGUGACCUGGCUGAAGUCGGACGCUUAACCGACUGUGCCACCCAGGCGCCCCCUAAGAUCCUUUUACAAGAGGGUCACCUCCCUGAGCCGCACAGGCAAGUAAUGUGAUUUCUGGCAGUGUUGUCUGGCCCUCUUCUGUCUCCACUGGCAGCCACACAUCUUCCACCAACAUCUAAGAGGAAGGAAUCAUUCCCGGGGAGAAACCAAAUCCUAGAGCCAAUACCUGCAAACAUAAUCGGCUCUAAGCCCGUUCUGUGAAAGUGGAUUCACUAUUUGAAGAAUUGAUAGAUUUAUGUAUUCAGAAAAAAACUUGCUUCUAGUAACUCUUGGAAAGUUUCCUGAAGUUACUAUUUAGAGGACAAUUUCAGCAGCAUCGGAGGAUUUCACAGCAGCCACUCUGGAAAACAGUCACCCAGCUCCACGUCCCCUUCAAGUCUGCUUUAUGUUUUAUACUCCAGGAAACUUUCAAAUACCAUGUGUCAUGAAUGAAACAGAGGCUUUUCUCUCAAAAGCAGUUUAAUGUCUUCAUUUGCAUACAUUUGCCCUCUCAGCGUUGGACUGAGUGUAAUGUUAAUGUGUGUAGAGCCCAGACCAUAUAUACUGAUUUGACAACUGGGAAAAUUGUCAAGUACAUGACCAUUACCAUGUAUUCAAGAAUUCUUGUGGAUAGAUGCAAACAUAACAGCCACACAGAUUAGUCGAAUACUUCAUGAAACCCUUAAGAGGCUACAGUAACCAUCCCCACGUAUGACUUAAAUAUUUGAGAUAUGCAAGGCAGCUGAGAAUGGACACACAUGCAAAGAAGUCAGUGGUUCAGUGCGGGCACAGAAUGGCGAGUUGAGUAGGAAAGGCUGGUUUGAGAAUGUGCACAAAAGAAGUCUAUUGAUUCCAUCCAGACUUUGAAAUCAACAGCAGUUGAAAAUUAACAUGUGAGAAAAUCUAUUGGGCAAAGUCCUACUCAUACAGUGAAUCAAAUACCAGAAUGCAGUGAGCUUUGGAUCAGCCACUGACACUGAAUUGUAGCUACAGGUUAGGUAUGAGCGAUGGGUCAAAGUCUCCAGGUCAUGUGGUGCUUACCAACUUUCUUUUGUAAAUAGACAGGGAUACACCUUUUUCCUAGCACAGAGACACGCAACGGCAUAUCUGUAGGCACCCAUAUUAACAUAGGAAAUCACAAACAUCAGGUGUAUACCCAGAAAACAGCCCCCAAUCCCAUCUUGGUACAAGUAACUCACCUUGCUCCUCCUGAGAAGGGCAAGAAAGCGUGGCUGUGUCGGGCAGAACCCGGUGCAAACCGUGAAGGGUCAAACUCCUGCAGAGGGAGCACCAGGACUAGGACAGGUGUGGUCAAGCCCCUCCUUCCUAUCAACCAGCCACCAGAUGGACCACCCAGAGGUGGGACAGGAGGAUGCAUUGGUCUGGAGAGCUCAUCCCAGCCCCUCCUCCCAAGGCCAUCAUACCUCUGGGUUUGGCCACACAUUCGGGUUGUGGUGAAGGGCAUAAAUGGAGAGGGACACCUGGAAUCCUGUGGGAGACAAGAGAGAAGACGGAUCAUAUCCAAGCCACGAGGAGUCAUGUGCAUGCACAAACAGCCUGGAAGCCACAGUGAAAGCCACUGCUCAUCAUUGUGAGUGGAAUGACUGUGUUGCAAGAGAGAUGGGGUGGACAAGGAAAGCACCCGUACACUCAUUACGAGAGAACCAUGCCUGGGCUGAGAGGUAGGAAAGAACAGGAGGCUUACUUUUUGGAACAACUCAAGUGACAGAAAACUCACAUUUAUCAAGUAGCACCCAUAGGCCCUUGGGUAAUAUGCAUGAACUCAUUCAAUCCUCACAACAACCCUCCAGUGAAGGCACUCAUGUCCCCAUUGUCCAUAUCAGGCACCUAGAGCCUCAGAGAGGCUAAGCUACUUGCCUAUAUCCACACAGCUAGGAUGUGGCAGGCCUGGAGUUCAGAUCAGAGGUGAGCCACCGGUGGCCUCCAACCGUGACUGGGUUCUCAGAUCUGGUCAUCAGGUGCUCUCUGCCACCAAUCUGAGGGCUCCCCACAGACUGGACUGUCAAAAUAAUGACGGUGGAUUCCCUGAAGUGCUUCAAUGACUCGACCUCACAGGGAAGGAAAAACAGCUCUGUCUGGCCCAGAGGGAUUUUCUCUCCAGCCAUCAAAUCUCUGGAUAUUAGAAGUUUAUGCUAAUUUUGAAGCCCCCUCCUGAAGCCAACACCUCCUUGUAGAGAAUGCAAUGCAUUGAGUCAUUAUUAUUUUAACUGGCCUGUAUAUAGUAUUUUGCCUUUGUUACAAAGGAGUUAUCUAAACAUUGUGUAAAAUCCUGAGGAUAUUCAAAGAGAUUUGUCUGGGAACAGAAUUGUUCCACGAGUUCUGACUUGGAGUGUGUAGUUUUAAAUCAGAGAAUGUCAGUGCCUUCAAUGGGAGUGCUGUAGCAUCACAAACCAAUGGAAUCUCGCGGUAAUAGAAUGUUUUUCCUCGGUAAGAGUAGAAACUUAGGAUUGUAUGCAUUUGAGAUCUUAGAAUUGAGAUGCACCUUACAGGUUAUUUGAGAGAAUCAACAAAAAUAGAAAAUAUUCUCCACAGAUAGGAAGAGGAACUAACCUUUACGACACUUUGGCAGUUCUCUGGCUCUGUGUCAGGCAUUUUCUCUCCUCAUCCAAACCAGAGAAUCCCAUGAUCACAGAUGUGUUUAAUUUCUUCUUCCACUGGAUUGAGGAGUGGGCACCUGCCUUCCCUGCCUUUCUCCUCCAAGACCUUUGGUGCUGGGUGACCAUGGUUCUUCCCUAUGCAUCCUUCGUGUCCUGUCACCACUCACUCAGGCAUCCCACCAACUGGACAACCUGGCCCUCUAGUGCCCUUUCUUACUUAAGCUGCUCCUUAGGAAGACAGAAGAGAAUAUAAGCAAGCUACUGUCUGUCCAAAAAAUGGGCUCAGACACAUUA